Molecule: small RNA, 17 nt
Filed under: Arabidopsis thaliana (thale cress)
Lineage: Eukaryota; Viridiplantae; Streptophyta; Magnoliopsida; Brassicales; Brassicaceae
Description: ATSL141380
Source: RNAcentral
GUUUUAACCAAAAAAAA